UUUGUGUUUUGCACUUUUUAUGAGAGCUAAACAUUAAAAUUCAGCGCUAAAUCUUACCAAACACCCCUUCCUCCGCUCCAUCCUCACCACCCACACAGACGAGCGCACACACACAUAUGAGGAAACACACAACAUAUGUGCUCGUUAAACUCCUUUCUGGGCUUGUAAGACGAGCGCCGAGAUGCCCGUAAGAAAGCGCCGGCGUUACACGCUCCGGCGGCCGGGUCGCCGCGCACCGCCGCCCGGGAAACAACCUAUCCGCGAUGGAAUCGGAAUAACCUGCACUAACAUAUAAAAGUAUAGCUUAUAACGCAUAUUUAGCGGCAAACUUAGUCUGACAGAAAAAAAACGGCGUUCUAUUACGUAAAAUGUCCAUAUGCUUGGGUGAUUCAACUACCUUUUUACUCAUUUUGCACUCAAAUGCGCAUUUUAUACUCAAAUGCACUAAAUAAGUAAAGUUAUUAAUAAAUAAAGGGCAAGAUUAACCAGAAGGCAAUGUACCUAUUAAUUAGAUGUUCUAUGAAGACGGCAAACCACAUUGCAUUUUUAUUUGAUAACAGUGUGUAAUGUUUUCAGGUAAAAGAAGGUCAGGUAUAAACUUGGGUGCAGAUCGUGGGUAGUCAGGUUGUGGUCAUUGAUUUAAUGUAAAAACUGCUGUAUUUAGAAGAAAUAUUUGUAAAAAUUUUAAGUGUUUUUUUUUCUCUGACUUUGAACACCGUAUGUUGUGUGUUGUUCCUCUGCAAAAUCUUUAUGAAGCUUUAGAAGCAAGCGUUUCGAAGAGAAGUAGGCCCACAUAACAUGCAGCCGAUGCAACCUUUAAAUCAACACCGACUAACCUGCCCUCCUGGGCUAUUAUCCGGUCAGAGCUGUUUAUCUGAAAAUAUGAAUAACAUUACCCAUCAAGUGGGAUUUUAAAGGCAAUUCUUCUUUAAAGGAAAGACAUGCACUUUUUUUGUGUGGAUGGGGGGUCUGUCUCUGUACCCUGCAACUACAAAGGCGAUUUUUUUGCUUUUGAUUUUGUUAUUAGUUUUGGGGAACCAGUUGGCAUUAACCCAUUAAUGCCUCUCUCUCCCUCUUCAUUUUGAUCUCCCCCUCGCUCCUUACCACAAAUUUACCGAAAUUGAGGUUUAAGGACGAUCACAAAUCGGCCUGAUGCUGCUCCCGGGACCACUGGCACCGGGUCAUGGGAGAUGGAGUGAUGGUGAUAUUGGGGGAGAUGAACGUGGCAUUACAGAAGUCGGAGGUGCUACGGCCAAACAUGGGGCCAGAGAUGGGUCGGACGCAAACGACUGUUUGCAGAAGAUGUUCGGAGACAACAGUUGGGCAGGCUAAAACCCUAUAGAUUUUAUACAGCCACAUUGUGUAGGCGGGAAAUCUGUUCAUCUUCCCGAACAGGAUGUUUGUCAGCAGGUGGAAGAUAGGCGUCGAUUUGGGAAGGUACAAACAUUUGACAGCGUUCAACUCGAUCCGCCGACAGAGAUCUCACAAAGGGACGAGGCAUCCGACGAGCAGAAGCUCUUCAGACAGAGGCCUGUUUGAUUGGCUGUUGGAGGAGAGGUGUCACAGAGGACUGAUAUCUCGGAGAGAAAAUUCCGGAAAGCCCAUGGUGACUGAGCCGGCUGAAGGAUUACUGAGGGGAUGGCAUACCAGAUGUUGCUUUGACGUUGAGUGAAUCCAGGUACACACAUACCACACGUAACUCACCUUAGUGUCAACAUUUGGUUUGAACAAAAAAUAUAUAUAUAUUUUUAAAUCAUUUGUUUAAAAAUUAAUUGGUAAAUCUUGGUCUUGCUCCAAUAUUGUUUGCACUUGUACCUCGGCAUCCAUCGAUAGCUCAGCCUUGCUGCACUGUCAAUGCAAGUUGACUCGUUGACAGCACAUAUGUUUGCUAUUUACCUCACUUGUAUGUGGCUUUGGACAAAAGUGUCUGUUAAAUAAAAGUAAAUGUAUUGUAAUAUAAUGUAAACCCUACGGAGAUUAAGGUCUCUUUUGUCCAGGCUGGAAGCCCAUUUCAAAUAUUUAAAAUUGAAACACGCACUAAAGACAAAAUAUACCAGCAAAUAGACAGACAUC
Molecule: long non-coding RNA, 2073 nt
Organism: Brienomyrus brachyistius
Lineage: Eukaryota; Metazoa; Chordata; Actinopteri; Osteoglossiformes; Mormyridae
Exons: 3
Source: RefSeq, a predicted model, not a curated record